RNAcentral lists this long non-coding RNA (722 nucleotides) under Musa acuminata (dwarf banana). RNAcentral describes it as "long non-coding RNA (MACU_LNC000157)". Lineage: Eukaryota; Viridiplantae; Streptophyta; Magnoliopsida; Zingiberales; Musaceae. The record is from RNAcentral.
CCAAUCCCACGUCGACUGUGCUGAAGAUGGCCAAGCUCUUCCUCCUCCUCCUCUUUGGCGCCCUCGUCUGCUCCGCCGGUGCCAGGAAACUCGCUAGCAAAGCGCCUUUGGAGGAGAAGAGCUGGUUCCACAAAGGUCGUGGCCAUGGGGGUGGCUCCGGCGGAGGAGGUGGAUACGGUGGCGGAGGUGGUUAUGGUGGUGGAGGUGGGUAUGGUGGCGGCGCCGGGCACGGAGGUGGAUAUGGUGGUGGAGCUGGGUAUGGUGGCGGCGGUGGGUAUGGUGGGGGUGGAGGAGGAGGCUAUGGAGGUGGAGGUGGUGGUGGACAAGGCGGAGGCUACGGAGGAGGAGCUGGCGCUGGCGGUGGGUAUGGAGGCGGUUCGGGUUUUGGCGGAGGAUAUGGAGGUGGCGCUGGAGGCGGUUACGGUGGCGGUGGUGGGUCAGGCGGCGGUUACGGCGGAGGAGCUGGUGGCGGUGGACACCCAUGAAGGAUUCCGACGAUGAACUGCGUUGUGUGUCACUUUCAUUGUAUCGUAGUACGUAUGCUUGUCGAGAAUAAGUUGCGCAGCAUCAGCAUGCAUUACUUCAACCGAUGAUGGCUUGCCCUAAUUAUAUUUUGUGCACGAUGUAAUAUUUGGUUUGACAUAUACCAAUAUUAUUGCUAGAUCAAAUCAUAAGUUAUGCGACAGAUGAUCUCAAAUAUAUAUUAUAUUUGAACGAGGAAC